AUUGAACGCUGGCGGCAUGCCUUACACAUGCAAGUCGAACGGUAACGGGCCUUCGGGUGCCGACGAGUGGCGAACGGGUGAGUAAUGCAUCGGAACGUACCUUUCAGUGGGGGAUAACGUAGCGAAAGUUACGCUAAUACCGCAUAUUCUGUGAGCAGGAAAGCAGGGGAUCGCAAGACCUUGCGCUGAUUGAGCGGCCGAUAUCAGAUUAGCUAGUUGGUGAGGUAAAGGCUCACCAAGGCGACCGAUCUGUAGCGGGUCUGAGAGGAUGAUCCGCCACACUGGAACUGAGACACGGUCCAGACUCCUACGGGAGGCAGCAGUGGGGAAUUUUGGACAAUGGGGGCAACCCUGAUCCAGCCAUGCCGCGUGAGUGAAGAAGGCCUUCGGGUUGUAAAGCUCUUUCGGCCGGGAAGAAAUCGUAUGGGUUAAUACCCUGUGCGGAUGACGGUACCGGCAUAAGAAGCACCGGCUAACUACGUG
RNAcentral lists this ribosomal RNA (483 nucleotides) under uncultured bacterium. Its description in RNAcentral is "bacterial SSU rRNA". It matches the Rfam family "Bacterial small subunit ribosomal RNA", at positions 30 to 507 of the family's 1533-position model. The record is from RNAcentral.